GCAAGUCGAGCGGAAACGACACUAACAAUCCUUCUUGUCCGUCAAUGGGCGUCGAGCGGCGGACGGGUGAGUAAUGCCUAGGAAAUUGCCUUGAUGUGGGGGAUAACCAUUGGAAACGAUGGCUAAUACCGCAUAAUGCCUACGGGCCAAAGAGGGGGAUCUUCGGACCUCUCGCGUCAAGAUAUGCCUAGGUGGGAUUAGCUAGUUGGUGAGGUAAUGGCUCACCAAGGCGACGAUCCCUAGCUGGUCUGAGAGGAUAAUC
This 262-nucleotide ribosomal RNA is filed under the name uncultured bacterium. RNAcentral describes it as "partial 16S ribosomal RNA". It matches the Rfam family "Bacterial small subunit ribosomal RNA", at positions 57 to 305 of the family's 1533-position model. The record is from RNAcentral.